Poeciliopsis prolifica (blackstripe livebearer) is the source of this 312-nucleotide long non-coding RNA. RefSeq lists it as uncharacterized. The transcript has 4 exons. NCBI's taxonomy places the organism in Eukaryota, Metazoa, Chordata, Actinopteri, Cyprinodontiformes, Poeciliidae. The record is from RefSeq and is a predicted model, not a curated record.
AGACGAGCAGCUGAACGGACCGGUCUGCCACAGCGAAGGCGAGGAAAGGAAGCUUUAAUAAAUCAACUGCAAAAAGAAGCAGAUCAAUGGUUGCCUUAAGAGUUAAAGUUGUUUUCCUCAUGUUCGUUCUGCUGACUCUGCUCUGCUCUGCAAGUUCUUGGAUUGACGACGACGAGCUGAGAGAAAUAAGAAGAGACAUUCAGAAAUUGCAACAUGAUGCCGCCAGGAGAAAAGCAAUUAACACGAUUGACCUUAAUUUCAUUCCUGAGCUUGUGGAUGAUGUCUCACAGAUAUUGGACAGUUCGGUGGAAA